AUGCUAUGUCGGUAUGUCCAGCAGCGGCGCAGCGCCUCCGUCCAGUACACGCAGGUUAAAUUGUUUACUAUUUUUUGCAACAACAAGAUGAGCGAUGGUGGUGGCCGAGUGAUGGUGACGGCAUGGAGGUUUCUGCUGUGUUGUAUGGUGAAAGACGAACAUCAAAGUACAGAAAAACGUGCACUGCAGUCUCUUGUGGCUUUAGUUUACCUUUCUUCAAGUGAAAAAUGCGCAACAUCGGCUGGCCCACAAAUGGAGUUCUGCUGGCUGGUAGUGCAGAUUUUGUGUGUAUGUAUGUGGGUGGCUGUAAAACAAUGA
This 318-nucleotide ribosomal RNA is filed under the name Triticum aestivum (bread wheat). RNAcentral's name for it is "partial small subunit ribosomal RNA". The record is from RNAcentral. Lineage: Eukaryota; Viridiplantae; Streptophyta; Magnoliopsida; Poales; Poaceae.